UUUAAAGAGAGUUUGAUCCUGGCUCAGGACGAACGCUGGCGGCGUGCCUAAUACAUGCAAGUCGAACGAACGGAGGAAGAGCUUGCUCUUCCAAAGUUAGUGGCGGACGGGUGAGUAACACGUGGGCAACCUGCCUGUAAGUUGGGGAUAACUCC
This 155-nucleotide ribosomal RNA is filed under the name Listeria monocytogenes. Its description in RNAcentral is "partial 16S ribosomal RNA". It matches the Rfam family "Bacterial small subunit ribosomal RNA", at positions 1 to 150 of the family's 1533-position model. Lineage: Bacteria; Bacillati; Bacillota; Bacilli; Caryophanales; Listeriaceae. The record is from RNAcentral.